GCCCGGUUAGGUCAAUCGGUAGAGCAUCAGACUCUUAAUCUGGCUGUCGCAGGUCCGAGCCCCACACCGGUCU
Non-coding RNA from Parelaphostrongylus tenuis, 73 nucleotides. NCBI's taxonomy places the organism in Eukaryota, Metazoa, Nematoda, Chromadorea, Rhabditida, Metastrongylidae. The record is from the annotation of a GenBank genome assembly.